Molecule: small nuclear RNA, 165 nt
Filed under: Neotoma lepida (desert woodrat)
Lineage: Eukaryota; Metazoa; Chordata; Mammalia; Rodentia; Cricetidae
Description: U1 spliceosomal RNA
Rfam family: U1 spliceosomal RNA
About the family: U1 is a small nuclear RNA (snRNA) component of the spliceosome (involved in pre-mRNA splicing). Its 5' end forms complementary base pairs with the 5' splice junction, thus defining the 5' donor site of an intron.
Source: Rfam by way of RNAcentral
AAACUCACCUGGCAGAGGAGAUACUAUAAUCAAGAAGGUGGAUUUUCCCAGGGUGAGGCUCAACCAUGACCUUUGGGAUGCGCUGACGCCUACUAUUUCUCCAAACAUGGGAAAUUCAACUAUAGAAUUUAUGAUAAUGGGGGACUGUGUUUAAAAUCUCCCCUA